UUCUGACUGAUGGAUUGACACUGGA
This 25-nucleotide unclassified non-coding RNA is filed under the name Mus musculus (house mouse). Its description in RNAcentral is "oocyte_clustered_small_RNA7169". Lineage: Eukaryota; Metazoa; Chordata; Mammalia; Rodentia; Muridae. The record is from RNAcentral.